UAUUCUUCUUGUAUUCAUAAC
This 21-nucleotide non-coding RNA is filed under the name Caenorhabditis elegans. The record is from RNAcentral. Lineage: Eukaryota; Metazoa; Nematoda; Chromadorea; Rhabditida; Rhabditidae.